RNAcentral lists this long non-coding RNA (555 nucleotides) under Oryza sativa tropical japonica subgroup. RNAcentral describes it as "lncRNA OsAzu_08g0008190". The record is from RNAcentral. Lineage: Eukaryota; Viridiplantae; Streptophyta; Magnoliopsida; Poales; Poaceae.
AAACCUCACGCGCCGAAAGCCUUUCAUCUGAUUCCUAUUUCCACUACUAUUGUUGGGGAUCACCACCACCGCUACCCAUGCAUCCAAAUCAAAAAUCCAAGAUACAAUCCACAAAUCCCCAAAUCAAAGUCUGUUCACCCAAAUCAAAAUCCCCAAAUCGCCAAAUCACCGCGCACGCCUGUAACUCAUCCACUUCCCCCACCCUAUGAGCUCCGCGCCGAGGAAGCCGCGCCCUCAGCCACAGGCUUACGGCAGCUCCCCCACCUCCUCCAGCCGUGGCUGCAGCCGCCUCUCCGCCCCACCGUGGAGCCGGCGGGUAAAGAAGCUGAGAAGGAAGCCCUCCCGGCCGUCACCGGCCCUGGCGACGGCGGCGAGGUGACCACGGAGGAGUGGCCACGGUGGGGCACCUCCUCGCUCCUCCCGGUCACGGUGGCCGCCGUCAUCCGCGAGCUUCUCGAGAGGAGGAGGAGGCCAAACACGCCGCCGUCCCGACGGCUUGGUGGGUGCGUCAUCCUGAGCCGCAAGGAGGGUGUUGCUGCCGAGGCGCUGCCGUGA